CGCACCCUGCUUUGUGCGUAGUCCACCGGGAAGUUCGUAUCCAACACUCAUACAAAGGGAGUCCGGACUCUGAUUGUGGCGUGCACGCCCCGCUUAGGGGAAGCCCAAAGCAAUCAGGAGGACACCCACCUGGUAGAGAAGGGGUUCGGAACUUCGUGGAUUACGGCAAAGCGGGGUUUUC
Non-coding RNA from Carboxydothermus hydrogenoformans Z-2901, 181 nucleotides. It matches the Rfam family "6S / SsrS RNA". From Rfam's summary of the family: E. coli 6S RNA was the first non coding RNA to be sequenced, but its function was unknown until recently. It consists of 184 nucleotides that fold into an extended hairpin structure with a large single-stranded internal bulge. Lineage: Bacteria; Bacillati; Bacillota; Clostridia; Thermoanaerobacterales; Thermoanaerobacteraceae. The record is from Rfam.